UAUAAAAUGUUGUUUAGCAUUAAGAAUUUUGAUUUCUUAGGUAUUAGUUUAAUCUAAUUUUUAUAA
This 66-nucleotide transfer RNA is filed under the name Cemus sauteri. RNAcentral describes it as "tRNA-Gln". Lineage: Eukaryota; Metazoa; Arthropoda; Insecta; Hemiptera; Delphacidae. The record is from RNAcentral.